UACAGAGGGUGCAAGCGUUGUUCGGAAUCACUGGGCGUAAAGCGCGUGUAGGCGGUUUCCUAAGUCAGGUGUGAAAUCCCCCGGCUUAACCGGGGAAGUGCGCCUGAAACUGGGAGGCUUGAGUACCGGAGAGGAAAGGGGAAUUCCCGGUGUAGAGGUGAAAUUCGUAGAUAUCGGGAGGAACACCGGCGGCGAAGGCGCCUUUCUGGUCGGUUACUGACGCUGAGACGCGAAAGCGUGGGGAGCAAACAGG
This 253-nucleotide ribosomal RNA is filed under the name uncultured bacterium. RNAcentral's name for it is "partial 16S ribosomal RNA". It matches the Rfam family "Bacterial small subunit ribosomal RNA", at positions 524 to 776 of the family's 1533-position model. The record is from RNAcentral.